GCAUCGGUGAUUCAGUGGUAGAAUGCUCGCCUGCCACGCGGGCGGCCCGGGUUCGAUUCCCAGCCGAUGCA
This 71-nucleotide transfer RNA is filed under the name Heliconius melpomene (postman butterfly). RNAcentral's name for it is "tRNA HMEL006396". It matches the Rfam family "tRNA". Rfam says of the family: Transfer RNA (tRNA) molecules are approximately 80 nucleotides in length. Their secondary structure includes four short double-helical elements and three loops (D, anti-codon, and T loops). The record is from RNAcentral. Lineage: Eukaryota; Metazoa; Arthropoda; Insecta; Lepidoptera; Nymphalidae.